AGUACGGCGAGUGAAGCGGCAACAGCUCAAAUUUGAAAUCUGGCCCUUACGGGUCCGAGUUGUAAUUUGUAGAGGAUGCUUUUGGCAAGGCGCCGCCCGAGUUCCCUGGAACGGGACGCCACAGAGGGUGAGAGCCCCGUCUGGCUGGCCGCCGAGCCUCUGUAAAGCCCCUUCGACGAGUCGAGUAGUUUGGGAAUGCUGCUCAAAAUGGGAGGUAUAUGUCUUCUAAAGCUAAAUAUUGGCCAGAGACCGAUAGCGCACAAGUAGAGUGAUCGAAAGAUGAAAAGCACCUUGAAAAGAGGGUUAAAUAGUACGUGAAAUUGUUGAAAGGGAAGCGCUUGUGACCAGACUUGGGCGCGGCGGAUCAUCCGGGGUUCUCCCCGGUGCACUUCGCCGCGUCCAGGCCAGCAUCAGUUCGUCGCGGGGGAAAAAGGCUUCGGGAACGUGGCUCCCUCGGGAGUGUUAUAGCCCGUUGCGUAAUACCCUGCGGUGGACUGAGGACCGCGCAUCUGCAAGGAUGCUGGCGUAAUGGUCACCAGCGACCCGUCUUGA
RNAcentral lists this ribosomal RNA (552 nucleotides) under Trichoderma sp. RNAcentral's name for it is "LSU rRNA". It matches the Rfam family "Eukaryotic large subunit ribosomal RNA", at positions 82 to 657 of the family's 3401-position model. Lineage: Eukaryota; Fungi; Ascomycota; Sordariomycetes; Hypocreales; Hypocreaceae. The record is from RNAcentral.